Molecule: ribosomal RNA, 587 nt
Filed under: uncultured archaeon
Lineage: Archaea
Description: bacterial SSU rRNA
Rfam family: Archaeal small subunit ribosomal RNA
Source: RNAcentral
UAGGUAACGGCUUACCAAGCCAUUGAUCGGUACGGGUUGUGAGAGCAAGAGCCCGGAGAUGGAACCUGAGACAAGGUUCCAGGCCCUACGGGGUGCAGCAGGCGCGAAACCUCCGCAAUGUGAGAAAUCGCGACGGGGGGAUCCCAAGUGCCAUUCUUAACGGGAUGGCUUUUCAUUAGUGUAAAGAGCUUUUGGAAUAAGGGCUGGGCAAGACCGGUGCCAGCCGCCGCGGUAACACCGGCAGCUCUAGUGGUAGCAGUUUUUAUUGGGCCUAAAGCGUCCGUAGCCGGUUUAAUAAGUCUCUGGUGAAAUCCUGUAGCUUAACUGUGGGAAUUGCUGGAGAUACUAUUAGACUUGAGACCGGGAGAGGUUAGAGGUACUCCCAGGGUAGAGGUGAAAUUCUGUAAUCCUGGGAGGACCGCCUGUUGCGAAGGCGUCUAACUGGAACGGUUCUGACGGUGAGGGACGAAAGUUAGGGGCGCGAACCGGAUUAGAUACCCGGGUAGUCCUAACCGUAAACGAUGCGGACUUGGUGUUGGGGUGGCUUUGAGCUGCUCCAGUGCCGAAGGGAAGCUGUUAAGUCCGCC